CUUGGUUGUUUACAUUUUGA
This 20-nucleotide unclassified non-coding RNA is filed under the name Mus musculus (house mouse). RNAcentral describes it as "oocyte_clustered_small_RNA11761". Lineage: Eukaryota; Metazoa; Chordata; Mammalia; Rodentia; Muridae. The record is from RNAcentral.